RNAcentral lists this ribosomal RNA (280 nucleotides) under uncultured bacterium. RNAcentral's name for it is "partial 16S ribosomal RNA". It matches the Rfam family "Bacterial small subunit ribosomal RNA", at positions 506 to 784 of the family's 1533-position model. The record is from RNAcentral.
UGCCAGCCGCCGCGGUAACACGGGGGGCGCAAGCGUUAUUCGGAAUUAUUGGGCGUAAAGGGCGCGCAGGCGGUCUUGUCCGUCAGGUGUGAAAGCUCGGGGCUCAACCCCGGAAGUGCACUUGAAACAGCAAGACUUGAAUACGGUAGAGGAGAGAGGAAUUCCUGGUGUAGAGGUGAAAUGCGUUGAUAUCAGGAGGAACACCGGUGGCGAAGGCGGCUUCCUGGGCCGAUACUGACGCUGAGGCACGAAAGCGUUGGGUAGCAAACGGGAUUAGAUA